RNAcentral lists this long non-coding RNA (221 nucleotides) under Elaeis guineensis (African oil palm). RNAcentral's name for it is "long non-coding RNA (EGUI_LNC005291)". Lineage: Eukaryota; Viridiplantae; Streptophyta; Magnoliopsida; Arecales; Arecaceae. The record is from RNAcentral.
CAUUGAGCUCCGAUGGAGGGGGCUUUAGAGGAUUUUAAAGAAAAGGAGAAGUUGCAAAAUGAGGUCGAGCUUUCUCUUUGGCUGAGGAUCAGGAUGCUAUCUUUCAAGGCGGCCUCUGGAUUAUCGUCAGCCAACUACUUGCUUUUGAAUCGUGGGUGCCAGAUUUUGUGCCAGACCAACAUAGUCAAGAAGAUGAUGGUGUGGAUGUGGCUUUCUGGUCU